AAACCAGCACCUCAAGUGGUCAGGAGGUUUAUUGGGCCUAAAGCAUCCGUAGCCUGAUCUAUGAGUUUCCGGUUAAAUCCACAUGCUCAACAUUUGGGCUGCCGGAAAAACUGUAGAUCUAGGGAGUGGGAGAGGUAGACGGUACUCGGUAGGAAGGGGUAAAAUCCUUUGAUCUAUUGAUGACCACCAGUGGCGAAGGCGGUCUACCAGAACACGUUCGACGGUGAGGGAUGAAAGCUGGGGGAGCAAACCGGAUUAGAUACCCGGGUAGUCC
RNAcentral lists this ribosomal RNA (274 nucleotides) under uncultured bacterium. RNAcentral describes it as "partial 16S ribosomal RNA". It matches the Rfam family "Archaeal small subunit ribosomal RNA", at positions 473 to 747 of the family's 1478-position model. The record is from RNAcentral.